RNAcentral lists this ribosomal RNA (253 nucleotides) under uncultured bacterium. RNAcentral's name for it is "partial 16S ribosomal RNA". It matches the Rfam family "Bacterial small subunit ribosomal RNA", at positions 524 to 776 of the family's 1533-position model. The record is from RNAcentral.
GACGAACCUUGCUAACGUUAUUCGGAAUUACUGGGCUUAAAGCGUGCGUAGGCGGUGCCUCAAGUUUGGUGUGAAAUCUCCCGGCUCAACUGGGAGGGUGCGCCGAAAACUGAGGUGCUCGAGUGUGGGAGAGGUAGGCGGAAUUCCUGGUGUAGCGGUGAAAUGCGUAGAUAUCAGGAGGAACACCGGCGGUGUAGACGGCUUACUGGACCAUUACUGACGCUGAGGCACGAAAGUGUGGGGAGCAAACAGG